Molecule: transfer RNA, 74 nt
Filed under: Streptomyces roseifaciens
Lineage: Bacteria; Bacillati; Actinomycetota; Actinomycetes; Kitasatosporales; Streptomycetaceae
Also listed under: 1 other name
Description: tRNA-Thr
Rfam family: tRNA
About the family: Transfer RNA (tRNA) molecules are approximately 80 nucleotides in length.
Source: RNAcentral
GCCGCCUUAGCUCAGUUGGCUAGAGCACCGGCUUUGUAACCCGGAUGUCGUCGGUUCGAUUCCGACAGGCGGCU